CUUUCUUCACAAACGCAUUGCCUUCUUCCUUUAGAGUCUUGGCUUUUUUAGCAGCUUCAGGUCCUGGUGCUUUGAAUAAAAAAAGUGAAAAUCAAGUGCUGAAGUGAAGCAUGAUGGCUCCGCUCAGUACGGCACAGACAUCGGAACGGAGGGAAUCGGAGGCAGUUUCUCUCUCCAAGAUGGUCCGUCUGUAUCUGUCAAAGUCUUGGUCAUUCUGAAGGCAAGGAAAGAUGUGUUAUAUGAAUUACCUGUUGACGCCAUCGUGAGCUGCCGGUAUGUUCCAGUCUAUCUGUAACACAGUUUUGUAGUCCACAUAAGCCUGUCUGUAUCUCUCCAAAGCUUCAAAAGCUGACGCCCGGCGAAGCAGAGCUUUAAAUCCAAACGGAACCAAUUCAAGAGACCUGAAAGGUAACUGGCGGCCCUGUUGGAGUACAGAAUACCCAGUUCCUCCUUGUUCUUCUGACCUGCAAACAGAUUAGUUACACUGAUGUGCUUUUAUUUACAAUAGCACCACGGCCUUAUUUACAUCUAUUAUAGUCUAAGGAACUGUUUUAAAACUAGUUGCUCUGUAACAUUCAUAUAUUCCUGUUUGGGAUGAUUGCCCUCUUGUUACUCAUUUAAAAACAUAUUAAAUAUGGAAUCUCUAUGGUAUUCUUAGGAUAUGACAGUACCAUGAUGUUAUCAUCAGAUUCCAUCACGGGUUCUGUCAGAUAAUAAAGGAUAUAAUAUUAAUGCAUGGGAUUAAUUAAUCCUAUAAAUGUGUAUAUUUUGAUUUGGAAAAUAUUUUCUAUUAUGUAAUAUGACAUUUUUGCUACUCACUACAGUGUUGUGCUA
Long non-coding RNA from Carassius gibelio (silver crucian carp), 834 nucleotides. RefSeq lists it as uncharacterized. The record is from RefSeq and is a predicted model, not a curated record. NCBI's taxonomy places the organism in Eukaryota, Metazoa, Chordata, Actinopteri, Cypriniformes, Cyprinidae. The transcript has 4 exons.